This 497-nucleotide ribosomal RNA is filed under the name uncultured bacterium. Its description in RNAcentral is "partial 16S ribosomal RNA". It matches the Rfam family "Bacterial small subunit ribosomal RNA", at positions 28 to 507 of the family's 1533-position model. The record is from RNAcentral.
GAUGAACGCUGGCGGCGUGCCUAAUACAUGCAAGUCGAGCGAACAGACGAGGAGCUUGCUCCUCUGACGUUAGCGGCGGACGGGUGAGUAACACGUGGAUAACCUACCUAUAAGACUGGGAUAACUUCGGGAAACCGGAGCUAAUACCGGAUAAUAUAUUGAACCGCAUGGUUCAAUAGUGAAAGACGGUUUUGCUGUCACUUAUAGAUGGAUCCGCGCCGCAUUAGCUAGUUGGUAAGGUAACGGCUUACCAAGGCAACGAUGCGUAGCCGACCUGAGAGGGUGAUCGGCCACACUGGAACUGAGACACGGUCCAGACUCCUACGGGAGGCAGCAGUAGGGAAUCUUCCGCAAAGGGCGAAAGCCUGACGGAGCAACGCCGCGUGAGUGAUGAAGGUCUUCGGAUCUUAAAACUCUGUUAUUAGGGAAGAACAAAUGUGUAAGUAACUAUGCACGUCUUGACGGUACCUAAUCAGAAAGCCACGGCUAACUACGUG